GAGUUUGAUCAUGGCUCAGAUUGAACGCUGGCGGCAUGCCUUACACAUGCAAGUCGAACGGCAGCACGGGAGCUUGCUCCUGGUGGCGAGUGGCGAACGGGUGAGUAAUGCAGUCGGAACGUAGUCCUGGAGUGGGGGAUAACGUAGCGAAAGUUACGCUAAUACCGCAUAUUCUGUGAGCAGGAAAGCGGGGGACCUUCGGGCCUCGCGCUCUUGGAGCGGCCGAUGUCGGAUUAGCUAGUUGGUGAGGU
This 251-nucleotide ribosomal RNA is filed under the name bacterium enrichment culture clone ALO1_GLFRUDD03HIASH. RNAcentral's name for it is "partial 16S ribosomal RNA". It matches the Rfam family "Bacterial small subunit ribosomal RNA", at positions 9 to 258 of the family's 1533-position model. The record is from RNAcentral.